Molecule: ribosomal RNA, 254 nt
Filed under: uncultured bacterium
Lineage: Bacteria
Description: partial 16S ribosomal RNA
Rfam family: Bacterial small subunit ribosomal RNA
Source: RNAcentral
UACGUAGGGUGCGAGCGUUGUCCGGAAUUAUUGGGCGUAAAGAGCUCGUAGGCGGUCUGUCGCGUCGAUCGUGAAAACUUGGGGCUUAACCCUGAGCUUGCGGUCGAUACGGGCAGACUGGAGGUAUGCAGGGGAGAACGGAAUUCCUGGUGUAGCGGUGAAAAUGCGCAGAUAUCAGGAGGAACACCGGUGGCGAAGGCGGCCACCUGGACGGUAACUGACGCUGAGACGCGAAAGCGUGGGUAGCAAACAGG